GGCCCGGUAGCGGAUGGUUCGCACCCGCUUUCAAUAUCUGAUUGGAUUGUAUGUGUAUGCAGGACUCGCUCGUUCGAAUCGAGCCCGGGUCA
Molecule: non-coding RNA, 92 nt
Organism: Mycena epipterygia
Lineage: Eukaryota; Fungi; Basidiomycota; Agaricomycetes; Agaricales; Mycenaceae
Source: the annotation of a GenBank genome assembly